Chelonia mydas (Green sea turtle) is the source of this 1726-nucleotide long non-coding RNA. RefSeq lists it as uncharacterized. The transcript is spliced from 2 exons. NCBI's taxonomy places the organism in Eukaryota, Metazoa, Chordata, Testudines, Cheloniidae. The record is from RefSeq and is a predicted model, not a curated record.
AAUUUGGCAGUUAUCAGCACAGGCAAUGAAUUUACAUUCCUGUGGAUGGAAUCUCCUGGAUUAACAAAAUACGUUUGGCUUUGAAGAAAGUACUUGAAGCAGCAGAGGAACUUAAUUCCAGCGGUUUUAUUCUUGGCACUUAUAUUAAAAGCCAUGGGGAAAUUGCUACUGGCAGUGGGUGAGGCCCCUUUUUGAACAGCUUUCAAGAUAAUAACUUGUGGCCUUACUCUAGCUCUAGAAUUCAUGACUAAUUAUUCAGAUAUUUGGGGGGUAUUACCAUAUUAUCUUUGGAGAUCUGGGAACAUGACAGCAUGAGAACAAGUAGUUUCAUUACAAGGUAGCCUCCAUGUUUGUGAAGGCCCUAGGUACAAUGUUGAAAAAUUUGUCUUGGUUCUUUGGUCUUGGUUCUUGUCUAGUCUAGGGGACUAGAAAAAAUGGCCUUAGUUCUUGUUGUCAUAUAGAAACGAAAAGAGCUAAAUUCCUGCAUGAAAAAUGUAUCAUACCAUGAAUACUGUUAUUUUAGAGUUCCAUACCUGUAAGAACAUGAGUGUAAAGGAGUUCCUGCUGUUGUAUCCUUUCCACACUGCAAACAUGCAGCUCUCCCAGGUGAAUAUCUAAGCUUGAAUAUCUUUUUUGUUUCUAUUUCAAGAGUAAAAGUAUUGAUUAACGGUCCUUGGAGAGAUGUUGUCUCGGAAAUGAUUUCUCAGGUUUUUUUGUAGUGUAGGCAGUAUUGUAACAUUAAUAAUAAGUUGGUUCUCCACCCUCCUAUUAAUGAUCAAGGGGCCACAAAAGAAAUUCCUUACAUAUAAAGUAAUAUAGAUUUCUAGCAGCUGGAAACAGAGAAGCUGCUAUCUUGUGAGUUAACAGCUUUCUCUGGAGCAUCAGCAAAUGUUCCAUGGAUCAUCAGGGUUGAGAAGUUUUGUUCUGUGCCAUGCUAUAGAUUUAAUUUCUGUGUUCACUUCUAUUCUUCUUUUUUUUUUAAGAUUCACUCAUCAUGAAGAAAAUUCAGAAGUCAAUCACUAUGUGCUUUGAGGUUUAUUUAGCCACUCUUGUGGAAAAUCCUAGGCAUAUGCACAGCUGUAAAGAGCUUAGGGAAGGGAUCCCUGUUUGAACUCUCACAAAAAUCUGAUAAAUUUCAGCCUAUCCUGCAUUUGCUAGAACUCAGCAAUUAAGUUCAGCUCAGUUUAUAAACAUGUGUAAUGAAUGUUUUCAUCUUGACAAGAGUUAUGGAAUUAUUUAAAACUUGGGGUUAGCACCCGAGAAAUUGGGCAUGUAUUCAUUUUCAGCUGCUGUUGUUUUUUAUACUGACAGAAAACCAGGAAGCUAUGCGAUGCUUGACACACAUUCUGCUUUUGUGUCACACCUGUGAUUUUAAGUCCACAAAACUUGUAUAAUUUCCUUGACUGGUACUUUGAAAUGUGGAGACAUUGUGCUAGCUUGAAAGGAUAGUAUUUUCAUUGCUGUAUUCUAAACAAUAAAUAUUAAGAAAAUGUUCUGUUGUUGCCGCUCUAAAUAGUUGAUUAGUUGAAAUAAAGCGCAGUCACUGAGUGAUUUUUGAGUAGGUUAUUUAUUUAGACCAGCAGUAUUUUUUUUUUUUUUAAAUUUCUCCCUCUUUUAAUGACAGGUGGAGGGCUACAGAUGUAGACUACUAUUCUGGGAUCACUGUUAUUUGGCAUGAAUCUUAUUUCAAAAUGUCAAGGCAUCAGGAAAGCUGGUAUUAGGCUAA